This 382-nucleotide RNase P RNA is filed under the name uncultured Bartonella sp. Its description in RNAcentral is "Bacterial RNase P class A". It matches the Rfam family "Bacterial RNase P class A". From Rfam's summary of the family: Ribonuclease P (RNase P) is a ubiquitous endoribonuclease, found in archaea, bacteria and eukarya as well as chloroplasts and mitochondria. Its best characterised activity is the generation of mature 5'-ends of tRNAs by cleaving the 5'-leader elements of precursor-tRNAs. Lineage: Bacteria; Pseudomonadati; Pseudomonadota; Alphaproteobacteria; Hyphomicrobiales; Bartonellaceae. The record is from RNAcentral.
AGUUGGUCGGGCAGCCGCGCUUUUCCAAUGCCGAAAGGCGGGAAGUGAGGAAAGUCCGGGCUCCACGGAAUAACGGUGCCGGAUAACGUCCGGCGGGGGCGACCCUAGGGAAAGUGCCACAGAAAACAAACCGCCCAGUCAAUGGGUAAGGGUGAAAAGGCGGGGUAAGAGCCCACCGCAUAACCAGUAAUGGUUGUGGCAAGGUAAACCCCACCGGGAGCAAGACCGAAUAGGAAUGACGCGCAAACUCGUUUUGCAGCCAUAUUCCAGGCGUGUCAUUCGGGUAGGUUGCAAGAGGCGGUUGGUAACAAUCGUCCCAGAUGAAUGGUUGCCACGCGAAAUGCAUAUUUCGCCAUACAGAACCCGGCUUACAGACCAACUG